UUGACCUCAAAUCGGGUGAGACUACCCGCUGAACUUAAGCAUACU
This 45-nucleotide ribosomal RNA is filed under the name Lactarius uvidus. Its description in RNAcentral is "partial 28S ribosomal RNA". The record is from RNAcentral. Lineage: Eukaryota; Fungi; Basidiomycota; Agaricomycetes; Russulales; Russulaceae. RNAcentral also lists the same sequence under 1 other name.